RNAcentral lists this ribosomal RNA (447 nucleotides) under uncultured bacterium. RNAcentral's name for it is "bacterial SSU rRNA". It matches the Rfam family "Bacterial small subunit ribosomal RNA", at positions 28 to 458 of the family's 1533-position model. The record is from RNAcentral.
GAUGAACGCCGGCGGCGUGCUUAACACAUGCAAGUCGAACGGGAAACCUUUUAAAGAAGCUUCGGCAGAUUUAGCUGGUUUCUAGUGGCGGACGGGUGAGUAACGCGUGGGUAACCUGCCUUGUACAGGGGGAUAACAGUCAGAAAUGACUGCUAAUACCGCAUAAGCGCACAGGACCGCAUGGUCCGGUGUGAAAAACUCCGGUGGUAUAAGAUGGACCCGCGUUGGAUUAGCUGGUUGGUGGGGUAACGGCCUACCAAGGCGACGAUCCAUAGCCGGCCUGAGAGGGUGAACGGCCACAUUGGGACUGAGACACGGCCCAGACUCCUACGGGAGGCAGCAGUGGGGAAUAUUGCACAAUGGGGGAAACCCUGAUGCAGCGACGCCGCGUGAAGGAAGAAGUAUCUCGGUAUGUAAACUUCUAUCAGCAGGGAAGAAAAUGACGGU